RNAcentral lists this ribosomal RNA (306 nucleotides) under Triticum aestivum (bread wheat). RNAcentral's name for it is "partial small subunit ribosomal RNA". Lineage: Eukaryota; Viridiplantae; Streptophyta; Magnoliopsida; Poales; Poaceae. The record is from RNAcentral.
AUGCUAGGGUUAGGCGAUUCUGGGGCGACAACCCUGGCGCCGCCGCCACCACUCGCCGGAUCGGUCCUCGAGGCCGCCGGUGCCGUUUCCAUGUCCUCACUAGGGGAGGGCUAUGGACCUGCUGCGGCCAUGUCCGCCUGUUCUCUGCCGGGGCUGCGUGCUCGUGGCGGACUAGUUACUCACCAAAUUGGAGAGACAAAGAUCGAGACUGCAUCUUUCAUACGGAGGAAGGAGUCUGAUGGAGCUACGAACCCCAACCCCUCCGUCAAGCACUUGGAGUUGGAGGCCCGUCCUGCCCAUACCUAA